Molecule: ribosomal RNA, 484 nt
Filed under: uncultured bacterium
Lineage: Bacteria
Description: bacterial SSU rRNA
Rfam family: Bacterial small subunit ribosomal RNA
Source: RNAcentral
GACGAACGCUGGCGGCGUGCCUAACACAUGCAAGUCGAACGGAGAAGUUGAUUUCGGUUGACUUCUUAGUGGCGAACGGGUGAGUAAUACAUCGGAACGUGCCCAAUCGUGGGGGAUAACGUAGCGAAAGUUACGCUAAUACCGCAUACGAUCUACGGAUGAAAGCGGGGGAUCGCAAGACCUCGCGCGGACGGAGCGGCCGAUGGCAGAUUAGGUAGUUGGUGGGAUAAAAGCUUACCAAGCCGACGAUCUGUAGCUGGUCUGAGAGGACGACCAGCCACACUGGGACUGAGACACGGCCCAGACUCCUACGGGAGGCAGCAGUGGGGAAUUUUGGACAAUGGGGGAAACCCUGAUCCAGCCAUGCCGCGUGCAGGAUGAAGGCCUUCGGGUUGUAAACUGCUUUUGUACGGAACGAAAAGGUCCUUUCUAAUAAAGAGGGCUCAUGACGGUACCGUAAGAAUAAGCACCGGCUAACUACGUG